AUUGAACGCUGGCGGCAGGCCUAACACAUGCAAGUCGAACGAGUGGCGGACGGGUGAGUAAUGUCUGGGAAACUGCCUGAUGGAGGGGGCUAACUACUGGAAACGGUAGCUAAUACCGCAUAACAUAAGAUGUGCCCAGAUGGGAGUAGCUAGUUGGUGGUUUAACGGCUAACCAAGGCGACGAUCCCUAGGUGGUCUGAGAGGAUGACCAGCCAGACUGGAACGGAGAAAGGGCCCAGACUCCGACAGUAGGCAGCAGUGGGGAAUAUUGCACAAGGGGCGCAAGCCUGAUGCAGCCAUGCCGCGUGUAUGAAGAAGGCCUGAGGGUUGUAAAGUACUUUCAGCGGGGAGGCGUUACCCGCAGAAGAAGCACCGGCUAACUCCGUGCCAGCAGCCGCGGUAAUUC
This 406-nucleotide ribosomal RNA is filed under the name uncultured bacterium. Its description in RNAcentral is "partial 16S ribosomal RNA". It matches the Rfam family "Bacterial small subunit ribosomal RNA", at positions 30 to 526 of the family's 1533-position model. The record is from RNAcentral.